CUUAUCCUCACAACAGCCCUUGAAGGUAGAAAUUAUCUCCCAUUUUGCAGAUGAUGAAUUCAGCCAAGGAAGAGAAGUUAUUUGCCUCAACAUAGGCUGAGACAGAAAUCACACGCCAAUUUCAAAGAAACCGGGCCCCAAACAAAGUGAAGCCCCUUCUCAGCCAAGCAAAAUAACCCCAAAUUCCAUUCCUGUUCUUUUAAAUCUUACUGAGUUUCUACAAAGUCCUGAGUGGAGACUAUUAUCCCUCAUUACUAAUUGCAAGAAAUCAGGUCGAAAAAACCUUGUGUCUCGUCAUCUGGUCUCCAAUUGAGUGGGCUUCCAAAUAUCCGUUUUCAAAACAUCUUCUCAAUCUUCAACAUUCACGUUUUUAUUGAAUUUAUUGGGGCAAUAUCAGUUAAUAAAAUUGUUUCAGGUGUACAAUUCCAUAAUGUGCCAUCUCUACAUUAUAAUGUGUGUUCACCACCCCACAUCAGGUCUCCUUCUAUCACUAUUUAUCCUCCCAUUACCCUCUUCUAUCUACCCCCAUCAUUUCCCUCUAAACAUUCGUUUUCACUCACUGUAAGCUUUUAUCACAUCUUCCGUACCGCCAAAACCCACCACCCUCGCCAAAAACCCAUUUUUCUGACCUCAAUUCAACUUCUAAACAUCCCUGUUGAUACCAGAUUCCUCAGCUUCCAAGAUCAUUGAACUCCAGGAAACUGUUUAUUUCAAAAUCUUUCCCAGGCCUCCCUUCAACCCAAACGCCCGCCCUCAGCGCCAGCACCUUGUAUUGAAGCGUGCGCGGCUCGAUCAUCUCCAGGGGCCGUCCGUUCACCUUUAUGAGGCCGUUGCCCCGUUUGCAGUGCGCCACGGCUGUGGCGGUCUUCUGCAGAAAGCGAGGGGAGAGACGAGGGCCACGUGAGAUCAGGAUUCCGGCUCCCAUGUAGGCCCCAGAAACCUGCCCAUCGACCUCUUCCAGACCCCGGGUUUCCCGGCCCCUCUCAACCGGCGCCCGGCUCACCUUGCGUCCGAAGACCUGCACAGACUGCAGAGGCCCCUUGGAUGGCAUGACUGCGGGAGUACACCAGAGAUGCUCACCGCGCGGCGCCGACACCGGAAAA
This is a long non-coding RNA of Pipistrellus kuhlii (Kuhl's pipistrelle), 1103 nucleotides long. RefSeq lists it as uncharacterized. Lineage: Eukaryota; Metazoa; Chordata; Mammalia; Chiroptera; Vespertilionidae. The record is from RefSeq and is a predicted model, not a curated record. The transcript has 2 exons.